AUCCACAAUCUUCUGCUCUCCAAUUUUUUAUAAAGUCCAGUAAGGCUGCAACAUCAUUUUCAUUUUUCACUCUCUCUCUCCUCUAUUAUCAAUCUCUAUCUAAAAUAUAAUGAGAGAGUUUCAUCAGAACUCUAGCCUCUUCAUCUCUCCGCCGCUGAGUUGCAACGUUCGCUUCAGAUUUUAUGGUCUCAGAGGAACUAGUAGAGAGGGAGAAGAAGGGCAUAUGUUUUGUCUGGACUGAGUUCACAUUCAUGGCAGAGAGCAACUGCAAGAGGUGAUACCACACGUAGCACCAGUCUUUCUCAAUCUUACCCCUCUGUCAGGCCGGCCUUGGUCGAAUCAUGUUUCAAGUCUAGGUAAGUUGCUGUUUCACAUAUAUGUAUAGUAAUAUUUAUUAUAUAUGCUGAUAUAUCAUGUUUUAUGAUCCUGGUUUAUUAUAAAUUUUAGUACUUAAAAUAGGAGAUUGCAUGAUUUAAGAGUUUAUCUAAUAUUGUAGCAUCUGAAGCAGUAGAAAUUGAACAUGUGAUCAGCAGAGAUUCCUUCUUGUAUUAAAAGUUAAGUUUGAUCAUUUGUUUCUUUUAAUCUCCUUGAGUUUCUCUUUGGGUGCCCUUGGAGCGUGGACUCUUUGAAAAGCGAUAACAAUAGGUUCUUGGGCUUAAAUUCUAUUCUGUUUUACUGAUGCUCUAGGCAUCAACAACAUCAUGAAGUUCAGUCAUAGAUUCUCUUGUAUAUGAGUAUGACUUCUAGGUUAAGUUCUUUUCAUGGCUGAUAUGAUUACUCGCUCUUAGACGAUGGUGCUUGGUAGUUUACCAGCUUCACCUCCUGUGAGGCCUCCUCGAUCGCUUUCUGAACGUCCAAGUCGUAGGUAAUUUGCAGCCUAAGCUGAUUUCGAGGUUACUCAUUAUAACUACAAUCUACAUAUAUCCUGUUUUUGUUAUUAAAUUUAUCCUUUAGAUCUUAGUUAUGUUUAGAGCAGGUGGGGAGAGGAAGAAUAGGAAGUGGAGGGUGGUUUUGGAGUUUGUGAAUUGUGGAAAAUGGUGUGGGUAUACCUUGCACAUUGUAAAUGAGUAAAAUAAUAAUGGGAGAGAAAGGGGAAAAUAGUUUUUGAGGAAAAUUUUGGGUGGGAACGGUAUAGGUGGGUUAUUGGUUUUUUCUUUGGUUGGGUUAGAAUUCUUGGUGUUCUGUACAUAAAGAGAAAAUGUCAUGUUUUUCUUUGGGAAGAAGAGAGGGUAUAGCCUUGCAAAUGUAAUACACAGUGGGUUAUUGCAAACGUAAUAUGGAGUAUUGCUUUGGGCAUUGGAGGUUGUUAAAAUUCUUGUCAAAGUGAAUGAAAUAUUCACUCUUGAUUAUUCUUUCCACAUAUUCUAGUUGAUUACAUGUAUAAAAAUUAACUGUUACUUUUUUAAAGGAAGAAUCAUAGGAGAAUGUACUAAUGUCAGCUUGUAUUACUUCUAGUAUCAGUCUAUAUAUAAAUGAAUUUUAAAUGAGUAAAAUAAUAAUGGGAGAGAAAGGGGAAAAUAGUUUCUGAGGAAAAUUUUGGGUGGGAACGGUAUAGGUGGGUUAUUGGUUUUUUCUUUGGUUGGGUUAGAAUUCUUGGUGUUCUGUACAUAAAGAGAAAAUGUCAUGUGUUUUCUUUGGGAAGAAGAGAGGGUAUAGCCUUGCAAA
Molecule: long non-coding RNA, 1665 nt
Organism: Beta vulgaris subsp. vulgaris (sugar beet)
Lineage: Eukaryota; Viridiplantae; Streptophyta; Magnoliopsida; Caryophyllales; Amaranthaceae
Exons: 2
Source: RefSeq, a predicted model, not a curated record